Molecule: ribosomal RNA, 3011 nt
Filed under: Salmonella enterica subsp. enterica serovar Typhimurium
Lineage: Bacteria; Pseudomonadati; Pseudomonadota; Gammaproteobacteria; Enterobacterales; Enterobacteriaceae
Description: 23S ribosomal RNA
Rfam family: Bacterial large subunit ribosomal RNA
Source: RNAcentral
GGGUUGUGAGGUUAAGCGACUAAGCGUACACGGUGGAUGCCCUGGCAGUCAGAGGCGAUGAAGGACGUGCUAAUCUGCGAUAAGCGCCGGUAAGGUGAUAUGAACCGUUAUAACCGGCGAUUUCCGAAUGGGGAAACCCAGUGUGAUUCGUCACACUAUCAUUAACUGAAUCCAUAGGUUAAUGAGGCGAACCGGGGGAACUGAAACAUCUAAGUACCCCGAGGAAAAGAAAUCAACCGAGAUUCCCCCAGUAGCGGCGAGCGAACGGGGAGGAGCCCAGAGCCUGAAUCAGCAUGUGUGUUAGUGGAAGCGUCUGGAAAGGCGCGCGAUACAGGGUGACAGCCCCGUACACAAAAGCGCAUGUGCUGUGAGCUCGAUGAGUAGGGCGGGACACGUGGUAUCCUGUCUGAAUAUGGGGGGACCAUCCUCCAAGGCUAAAUACUCCUGACUGACCGAUAGUGAACCAGUACCGUGAGGGAAAGGCGAAAAGAACCCCGGCGAGGGGAGUGAAAAAGAACCUGAAACCGUGUACGUACAAGCAGUGGGAGCACCCUUCGGGGUGUGACUGCGUACCUUUUGUAUAAUGGGUCAGCGACUUAUAUUCUGUAGCAAGGUUAACCGUAUAGGGGAGCCGGAGGGAAACCGAGUCUUAAUUGGGCGUUAAGUUGCAGGGUAUAGACCCGAAACCCGGUGAUCUAGCCAUGGGCAGGUUGAAGGUUGGGUAACACUAACUGGAGGACCGAACCGACUAAUGUUGAAAAAUUAGCGGAUGACCUGUGGCUGGGGGUGAAAGGCCAAUCAAACCGGGAGAUAGCUGGUUCUCCCCGAAAGCUAUUUAGGUAGCGCCUCGUGAAUUCAUCUCCGGGGGUAGAGCACUGUUUCGGCUAGGGGGCCAUCCCGGCUUACCAACCCGAUGCAAACUGCGAAUACCGGAGAAUGUUAUCACGGGAGACACACGGCGGGUGCUAACGUCCGUCGUGAAGAGGGAAACAACCCAGACCGCCAGCUAAGGUCCCAAAGUCAUGGUUAAGUGGGAAACGAUGUGGGAAGGCCCAGACAGCCAGGAUGUUGGCUUAGAAGCAGCCAUCAUUUAAAGAAAGCGUAAUAGCUCACUGGUCGAGUCGGCCUGCGCGGAAGAUGUAACGGGGCUAAACCAUGCACCGAAGCUGCGGCAGCGAACGUAUCACCCAAGACAACUUUACGGAGUUGACGAUUGACGGAGCGAAGCGACGUCAAAGCGUUCAUUAAAGUCGAGUUGGCUUAGGGAUACGUUCGUUGGGUAGGGGAGCGUUCUGUAAGCCUGUGAAGGUGUGUCGUGAGGCAUGCUGGAGGUAUCAGAAGUGCGAAUGCUGACAUAAGUAACGAUAAAGCGGGUGAAAAGCCCGCUCGCCGGAAGACCAAGGGUUCCUGUCCAACGUUAAUCGGGGCAGGGUGAGUCGACCCCUAAGGCGAGGCCGAAAGGCGUAGUCGAUGGGAAACGGGUUAAUAUUCCCGUACUUGGUGUUACUGCGAAGGGGGGACGGAGAAGGCUAUGUUGGCCGGGCGACGGUUGUCCCGGUUUAAGCGUGUAGGUGUGUGUUCCAGGUAAAUCCGGUUCACUUUAACACUGAGGCGUGACGACGAGGCACUACGGUGCUGAAGCAACAAAUGCCCUGCUUCCAGGAAAAGCCUCUAAGCAUCAGGUAACACGAAAUCGUACCCCAAACCGACACAGGUGGUCAGGUAGAGAAUACCAAGGCGCUUGAGAGAACUCGGGUGAAGGAACUAGGCAAAAUGGUGCCGUAACUUCGGGAGAAGGCACGCUGACACGUAGGUGAAGUGAUUUACUCACGGAGCUGAAGUCAGUCGAAGAUACCAGCUGGCUGCAACUGUUUAUUAAAAACACAGCACUGUGCAAACACGAAAGUGGACGUAUACGGUGUGACGCCUGCCCGGUGCCGGAAGGUUAAUUGAUGGGGUCAGCGCAAGCGAAGCUCCUGAUCGAAGCCCCGGUAAACGGCGGCCGUAACUAUAACGGUCCUAAGGUAGCGAAAUUCCUUGUCGGGUAAGUUCCGACCUGCACGAAUGGCGUAAUGAUGGCCAGGCUGUCUCCACCCGAGACUCAGUGAAAUUGAACUCGCUGUGAAGAUGCAGUGUACCCGCGGCAAGACGGAAAGACCCCGUGAACCUUUACUAUAGCUUGACACUGAACAUUGAGCCUUGAUGUGUAGGAUAGGUGGGAGGCUUUGAAGUGUGGACGCCAGUCUGCAUGGAGCCGACCUUGAAAUACCACCCUUUAAUGUUUGAUGUUCUAACGUGGACCCGUAAUCCGGGUUGCGGACAGUGUCUGGUGGGUAGUUUGACUGGGGCGGUCUCCUCCUAAAGAGUAACGGAGGAGCACGAAGGUUGGCUAAUCCUGGUCGGACAUCAGGAGGUUAGUGCAAUGGCAUAAGCCAGCUUGACUGCGAGCGUGACGGCGCGAGCAGGUGCGAAAGCAGGUCAUAGUGAUCCGGUGGUUCUGAAUGGAAGGGCCAUCGCUCAACGGAUAAAAGGUACUCCGGGGAUAACAGGCUGAUACCGCCCAAGAGUUCAUAUCGACGGCGGUGUUUGGCACCUCGAUGUCGGCUCAUCACAUCCUGGGGCUGAAGUAGGUCCCAAGGGUAUGGCUGUUCGCCAUUUAAAGUGGUACGCGAGCUGGGUUUAGAACGUCGUGAGACAGUUCGGUCCCUAUCUGCCGUGGGCGCUGGAGAACUGAGGGGGGCUGCUCCUAGUACGAGAGGACCGGAGUGGACGCAUCACUGGUGUUCGGGUUGUCAUGCCAAUGGCACUGCCCGGUAGCUAAAUGCGGAAGAGAUAAGUGCUGAAAGCAUCUAAGCACGAAACUUGCCCCGAGAUGAGUUCUCCCUGAGACUUUAGGUCUCCUGAAGGAACGUUGAAGACGACGACGUUGAUAGGCCGGGUGUGUAAGCGCAGCGAUGCGUUGAGCUAACCGGUACUAAUGAACCGUGAGGCUUAACCUUACAACGCCGAAG